This 497-nucleotide ribosomal RNA is filed under the name uncultured bacterium. RNAcentral describes it as "partial 16S ribosomal RNA". It matches the Rfam family "Bacterial small subunit ribosomal RNA", at positions 28 to 507 of the family's 1533-position model. The record is from RNAcentral.
GAUGAACGCUGGCGGCGUGCCUAAUACAUGCAAGUCGAGCGAACAGACGAGGAGCUUGCUCCUCUGACGUUAGCGGCGGACGGGUGAGUAACACGUGGAUAACCUACCUAUAAGACUGGGAUAACUUCGGGAAACCGGAGCUAAUACCGGAUAAUAUAUUGAACCGCAUGGUUCAAUAGUGAAAGACGGUUUUGCUGUCACUUAUAGAUGGAUCCGCGCCGCAUUAGCUAGUUGGUAAGGUAACGGCUUACCAAGGCAACGAUGCGUAGCCGACCUGAGAGGGUGAUCGGCAACACUGGAACUGAGAAACGGUCCAGACUCCUACGGGAGGCAGCAGUAGGGAAUCUUCCGCAAUGGGCGAAAGCUUGACGGAGCAACGCCGCGUGAGUGAUGAAGGUCUUCGGAUCGUAAAACUCUGUUAUUAGGGAAGAACAAAUGUGUAAGUAACUAUGCACGUCUUGACGGUACCUAAUCAGAAAGCCACGGCUAACUACGUG